Molecule: ribosomal RNA, 930 nt
Filed under: Triticum aestivum (bread wheat)
Lineage: Eukaryota; Viridiplantae; Streptophyta; Magnoliopsida; Poales; Poaceae
Description: partial small subunit ribosomal RNA
Source: RNAcentral
AUGUCGUACUCGGACGACGAAAGUCUCCCGGGGGAGUGCGACUGGUGCCACGACGACCGAGGUCAGUGCGACAGGCCUCACCUGGACGAAGAUCGGCGCUUCAGUAUUAAGCUGGAGGAGACGUUCGAUGUUGAAACGCUUAUCCCAUGCCAUGCAAGACACUACGUCUUGGAGAGGAUGGGUUUUGAAGACCAUGAAAGUAUGGAAACAAAGAAAAUUCACCUAAGGACCCAUCAUGAUAUAGAUUUUGAAGUAAAGCUGUAUAAUUCUGAGAGCGUAACCCAUUUUGGUUGCAAAAAUUGGGAAGCAUUUUGCAAGAUGUAUGGUUUUGAUGAGGGUAUGCUUGUCACCAUGGAUCUUGGUGAUCCUGACAUCGAGCAAGACAAUAUGGACAUUUGGGUCCUUGUUGAUACGCCUCCAAUUCUACCGCUAUCUUAUUUUGAUUGUUCAAACAAUGUGCGGAACAUGGUAGACAGAACCUACUACACCGAUGGCUCUGAGUUAACUUAUAAGGAGAAAACUCAUCUGGUCGGAUUUUGUACUGAUAUUGAGAAUUACAAUAUCUACAAUCAAACUCCUCAUCAUUAUGGUCCUCCAUACGUGCCACUAGUGCACGUGUUGAACUACGGUAACUACUAUGGAGAUACCCUGAGAAUCCCAGAGGAUUGUGUGCCUCAUUUGAUGUAUCAGAAUGGUAGGCUUGAUGUUUUGAAUAUACAACCAAGUCAUCCUACGAAUCUCAACUGUCCAUACCGGAUUUCUAAAAGAAGUGGAGACAUGCAAAUCAAAGAAUGGAAAAAAUGUAUGGACAGUCGCAAGGAGCUUCUUGGAAGCCAAAGGAAGCGAGGCGCAAUAAUUGGAGACAUGAUGAUCUCCAUUCUCCAUAAUGGAGAGUCAGGGUCUAUAUUGUUUUAUGCUACUUUACCUUAA